Molecule: long non-coding RNA, 566 nt
Organism: Podarcis raffonei (Aeolian wall lizard)
Lineage: Eukaryota; Metazoa; Chordata; Lepidosauria; Squamata; Lacertidae
Exons: 5
Source: RefSeq, a predicted model, not a curated record
GAAAAAGAUGUACCGGAACUCACCAUGAAUGCCUCCCUUGUUCUCUUACAAUGGCAAUGACGCCCACCUGAGAGGUGCCGGAACUGAGUUCCAGCUGAAAAAGCCCUGAUGGAUUUCUCCACACAUCAUCUCUUCGUGAAUAAGAAAUGGAUUCAUGAUACUCUUGGCUACGUGAGCAAAUUAAGUCAAUUAUUUUAACACCAAACCAGAAGGGCAAAAAGCAGUCCUUGGGGUCAAGGAGGAGGUGACAUGUGGUGCAGGCUUGGCCAGCAGAUUUUCACUCUGGGGUGGUGAGAUGUGGACACAGAAAACAAUGGACACUGGCAAAAUUGGGAUGGGAAGCAGCCUUGACCCCCAAACAAAAGCCAACAGUUCUUCGCCUGUGAACUACUCCUAAUUUAGAAAGGGCUGGACUGCCCCUCUGUCCCUGCAUCCCCCACACUCACCUGAAUUGAGAACCAGAUGGGCCAUCCUGCGACCCUGAAGAAGCGACGGAACUAAAAUGCAUUGCUACAAGUGAUAUUCAGCCAGAAGCAGCUGAUUAGCCAAGGCUCUAAAUGCCAGCA